RNAcentral lists this ribosomal RNA (119 nucleotides) under Pteropus alecto (black flying fox). The record is from RNAcentral. Lineage: Eukaryota; Metazoa; Chordata; Mammalia; Chiroptera; Pteropodidae.
GUCUAUGGGCAUACCACCCUGAAUGUGCCUGACCCCAGCUGAUCUCAGAAGCUAAGGAGGGUUGGGCCUGGUUAAUACUUGGGUGGGAGACCACCUAGGAAUACCAGGUGCUGUAGGCA